Molecule: ribosomal RNA, 497 nt
Filed under: uncultured bacterium
Lineage: Bacteria
Description: partial 16S ribosomal RNA
Rfam family: Bacterial small subunit ribosomal RNA
Source: RNAcentral
GAUGAACGCUGGCGGCGUGCCUAAUACAUGCAAGUCGAGCGAACGGACGAGAAGCUUGCUUCUCUGAUGUUAGCGGCGGACGGGUGAGUAACACGUGGAUAACCUACCUAUAAGACUGGGAUAACUUCGGGAAACCGGAGCUAAUACCGGAUAAUAUUUUGAACCGCAUGGUUCAAAAGUGAAAGACGGUCUUGCUGUCACUUAUAGAUGGAUCCGCGCUGCAUUAGCUAGUUGGUAAGGUAACGGCCUACCAAGGCAACGAUGCAUAGCCGACCUGAGAGGGUGAUCGGCCACACUGGAACUGAGACACGGUCUAGACUCCUACGGGAGGCAGCAGUAGGGAAUCUUCCGCAAUGGGCGAAAGCCUGACGGAGCAACGCCGCGUGAGUGAUGAAGGUCUUCGGAUCGUAAAACUCUGUUAUUAGGGAAGAACAUAUGUGUAAGUAACUGUGCACAUCUUGACGGUACCUAAUCAGAAAGCCACGGCUAACUACGUG